RNAcentral lists this ribosomal RNA (253 nucleotides) under uncultured bacterium. RNAcentral describes it as "partial 16S ribosomal RNA". It matches the Rfam family "Bacterial small subunit ribosomal RNA", at positions 524 to 776 of the family's 1533-position model. The record is from RNAcentral.
GACAGAGGGCGCGAACGUUGUCCGGAAUUACUGGGCGUAAAGCGCGUGUAGGCUGUUCGGCAAGUCGGGCGUGAAAGCCCUGGGCUCAACCUAGGAAGUGCACUCGAAACUCCCGAACUGGAGUCCCGGAGAGGAAGGCGGAAUUCUCGGUGUAGAGGUGAAAUUCGUAGAUAUCGAGAGGAACAUCGGUGGCGAAGGCGGCCUUCUGGACGGUGACUGACGCUGAGACGCGAAAGCGUGGGGAGCAAACAGG